This is a long non-coding RNA of Bos taurus (domestic cattle), 1279 nucleotides long. Lineage: Eukaryota; Metazoa; Chordata; Mammalia; Artiodactyla; Bovidae. The record is from Ensembl.
CCACGGCCACUGUCACCUGUGCUGUGGCUGUACUAAAAGAUGGGAGGGCACCCCAUCGCCUCUGUAGGACUGUUGCCAGGUUAGGAAGAGCAUGUGUGUGGCAUCUACAUCACGUUCUUGGUUCACAGUAGAUACUGAAAAACCGGCAGCUCUUAUUUUGUUAGAAAAAAAUGAAAUGAGUAGUGACAUUGCCAAAUUUCUUCCACAGUAAUUAUGAAGAAAUGUAGAAAUGUUUUCAUACAUGUAUAGAAUCCAAUGUGGUAAUGACAUAAUUUUCAGUAGUAAAACUCAUUUAUACUGAACUUCCAUUUGGCAAUAAAAUAUUGGUAUGCUGCUGCUGCUAAGUCGCGUCAGUCGUGUCCAACUCUGUGCGACCCCACAGACGGCAGCCCACCAGGCUCCACCGUCCCUGGGAUUCUCCAGGCAAGAAAUAUUGAUUGGGCUGAGCAAACUGCCCUGGCAAGAGGCCACCAGAAAUUCCAGUUGCAGAAGACUGUAAUCUUCCUUCACAAAAAGGCCUGGAAAGUGCCGCUGCUGCUAAGUCGCUUCCGUUGUGUCCGACUCUGUGCGACCCCAUAGACCGCAGCCCACCAGGCUCCUCCGUCCUUGGGAUUCUCCAGGCAAGAACACUGGAGUGGGUUGCCAGUUCCUUCUCCAAUGCAUGAAAGUGAAAAGUGAGAGUGAAGUCGCUCAGUCUUGUCCGACUCUUCGCGACCGCGUGGACUGCAGCCUACCAGGCUCCUCCGUCCAUGGGAUUUUCCAGGCAAGAGUAUUGGAGUGGGGUGCCAUUGCCUUCUCCAAUGCCCUAUUGCUCUUAAACAUCUCUAACCCUUACUCAAGAAAAGGGCAAAGGUUAAGUAAAAAUGUUUGGCAUAGUCGAUUUCUUAAGAAUAAUAAAAAUGCAUACUCACACUAUGGAUAAACUUUUUAAAGUAUGUUCUGCCUUAUUUUCUGAGGUAUAAAAAUAUUUUAAGGCAAUUUCAAUGAAUCAGAUUUCAAGAAACUACUAGAACAUCUUUUGUGAGUUGCUUUCAUUUUGUCUGAAUUAUGAUAUGUAUUUCAACACUGUGCUCUACCAGAGUAUGUAGGUUUGUCUGUCACUUCACAGCUGUCAAAGGGAAAUUCUUAUUUUAAAUCUCUAUAUCAUCAUUGAAUAGUUCUAAUAAUAAAAGGCCUAAAUUUUAGGUCCUCAGGGAUAUCAAGGUAUCUCAUCUACUGUGUUGUUCAAGCUCUGGCAGCAUGUUGUAAAACAGAUAUGUAAUAAGCAAUAGAGGGUAAG